CCUACGGGGGGGCUGCAGUGGGGAAUAUUGGACAAUGGGCGAAAGCCUGAUCCAGCCAUGCCGCGUGUGUGAAGAAGGCCUUCGGGUUGUAAAGCACUUUCAGUGGGGAAGAAAGCCUUGGGGCUAAUACCCUCGAGGAAGGACAUCACCCACAGAAGAAGCACCGGCUAACUCCGUGCCAGCAGCCGCGGUAAUACGGAGGGUGCGAGCGUUAAUCGGAAUUACUGGGCGUAAAGCGCGCGUAGGCGGUCUGAUAAGCCGGUUGUGAAAGCCCCGGGCUCAACCUGGGAACGGCAUCCGGAACUGUCAGGCUAGAGUGCAGGAGAGGAAGGUAGAAUUCCCGGUGUAGCGGUGAAAUGCGUAGUGAUCGGGAGGAAUACCAGUGGCGAAGGCGGCCUUCUGGACUGACACUGACGCUGAGGUGCGAAAGCGUGGGUAGCAAACAGGAUUAGAUACCCUGUAGUC
This 465-nucleotide ribosomal RNA is filed under the name Vreelandella stevensii. Its description in RNAcentral is "partial 16S ribosomal RNA". It matches the Rfam family "Bacterial small subunit ribosomal RNA", at positions 338 to 795 of the family's 1533-position model. Lineage: Bacteria; Pseudomonadati; Pseudomonadota; Gammaproteobacteria; Oceanospirillales; Halomonadaceae. The record is from RNAcentral.